AGAGUUUGAUCAUGGCUCAAGACGAACGCUGGCGGCGUGCUUAACACAUGCAAGUCGAACGGAAAGGCCCUUUCGGGGGUACUCGAGUGGCGAACGGGUGAGUAACAGGUGGGUGAUCUGCCCUGCACUUCGGGAUAAGCUUGGGAAACUGGGUCUAAUACCGGAUAGGACCAUGCCAUGCAUGUGGUGUGGUGGAAAGCUUUUGCGGUGUGGGAUGGGCCCGCGGCCUAUCAGCUUGUUGGUGGGGUGAUGGCCUACCAAGGCGACGACGGGUAGCCGGCCUGAGAGGGUGUCCGGCCACACUGGGAUUGAGAUACGGCCCAGACUCCUACGGGAGGCAGCAGUGGGGAAUAUUGCACAAUGGGCGCAAGCCUGAUGCAGCGACGCCGCGUGGGGGAUGACGGCCUUCGGGUUGUAAACCUCUUUCACCAUCGGCGAAGCCCAUGAUUUUUGUUGUGGGUGACGGUAGGUGGAGAAGAAGCACCGGCCAACUACGUGCCAGCAGCCGCGGUAAUACGUAGGGUGCGAGCGUUGUCCGGAAUUACUGGGCGUAAAUAGCUCGUAGGUGGUUUGUCGCGUUGUCCGUGAAAUUCCCUGGCUUAACUGGGGGCGUGCGGGCGAUACGGGCAGACUGGAGUACUGCAGGGGAGACUGGAAUUCCUGGUGUAGCGGUGGAAUGCGCAGAUAUCAGGAGGAACACCGCUGGCGAAGGCGGGUCUCUGGGCAGUAAUUGACGCUGAGGAGCGAAAGCGUGGGGAGCGAACAGGAUUAGAUACCCUGGUAGUCC
This 787-nucleotide ribosomal RNA is filed under the name uncultured bacterium. RNAcentral describes it as "bacterial SSU rRNA". It matches the Rfam family "Bacterial small subunit ribosomal RNA", at positions 8 to 796 of the family's 1533-position model. The record is from RNAcentral.